RNAcentral lists this antisense RNA (69 nucleotides) under Kibdelosporangium aridum. Its description in RNAcentral is "ASpks TB sRNA". It matches the Rfam family "ASpks TB sRNA". The record is from Rfam by way of RNAcentral. Lineage: Bacteria; Bacillati; Actinomycetota; Actinomycetes; Pseudonocardiales; Pseudonocardiaceae.
CUUCACCGAACCCAACCACAACGGCCGAUCGCGGUCCCGGCCGUAAGUCGCCAGCAGCGCCUGCGCCUC